Cavia porcellus (domestic guinea pig) is the source of this 6048-nucleotide long non-coding RNA. RefSeq lists it as uncharacterized. The transcript is spliced from 3 exons. The record is from RefSeq and is a predicted model, not a curated record. Lineage: Eukaryota; Metazoa; Chordata; Mammalia; Rodentia; Caviidae.
AGCAGCUGACCUAGAAGGAGCUGGCAAUGGAGUGCCUUGCCUCUGCCACUCCAGGGCAGCCACUACUCAGCUCUGUGCCUAAGUGCUGAUUUGUGAGGACUGCAUUGAUGAGCCUCCUGCUGCUUCUACUUGAAUUUGACCAAAGGGAAGCUCUAUCCAAAGAUUGCCAGGGAAAAGUGACGCCUGAGCUAAGUGUGGAAUAGUGAACAGUUCUCAUGCAUGGGAAAAAGUCAAGAGCUCAGUCAGAAGCAACAAACAGCCAAUACAAGAAUGUAGGGAAAGGAGAUCGUAAUGUGUUCCGUCCAUGAAGGCUUGAACAAUUAACCUGCUUUAUCCUUUGCCCGUUCCACCUGGAUACCACAUCCUGUGCACUCUACUUCUGCCCCCACAGGUGACCCUUCAUAACUCCAGGAUGAAGUGAAACUAUUAGAUGGGCCCUGCCUGCUGGUCCCAUCUGGCCAGGUUGUGCCUGUCGCUCCAGCACUGCCUCAGUGAUCCAGUCUCUGUCAUUUGUUCUCUAGGCUUCCUUUGCUGGUCCACAGACCUCAGAGCUCAGGGAUCAGCUGCUCCCUUCAGAAAGACAGUAUGCACAAAUGGAAACUUUGUACAUCAUAACAAUCUUGUACAUCAAGAACAUAUGUUCCUGAUGAAUAGUGCAGAAGUAAAAAGUCUAAUUCUCCAUGAAGAAUUUCCUCCUAGAACUACAUUUCCUUACUCUUCUCAUUUAAAAUACAAAUGGAAACCUUAUUCAUGUGGCAUAGUGCCUAGGACCCAUGAAAAUAUUUCUUUUAAAAUCAGAAGACAAAGGAAUAUAAUAAUAAUAAAUCUGUAAUAAAUAUUCCAACUUUAUACUAAUAAAGUUGCAAAUUUUAAGACAUUUUUAUGGAGAAAAGAGUCUGUGACGGCAGAAUUACCUAUGACCCACAAAAGCCCAAAUGUGCUCAUGUGUUUUCAUCAUUUAUUCCGUCAAUGGAUAAUUUGAUCUCCGGGGAAUGGAACUAUGGUUUGCCAAGUCCUUGUAAAUUUGGGACCGUGCCCUGAGCAUCUUAGAAUGUGCUUUGGAGAAGGUAUUCUGCAAAGAGGCUAGAAGUUGCAAGCAGAAAGAGCAAGUCAGGCAGAGAGAGCUGGGGGAAAGAGAAACCAAAUACAGACAAACGUCUAAAACCUGAGAACAGACUGCUUCUGCAGUGGCCAUGAUAAUGCUAACUUGGAUCUGAUUUUGCCGCCGAGGUCCAGGGGCUCAAGAAUGAAGCCGAAAGUGGUGUCAGGUGACCGCACAGGAACAAAGCUGCAGCCAGAUUGGCAGCUUCAGAACUGGCCAGGAUGAAAGGAGAGAGGACUCAGAGUGAGUUAUGUGUGCCACUCCCUGCCAAGACCCGAGGUGCUUUGGCAACAAUUGGUGAAGGCUCAACAAUGACAAAAAGUCACUGGCCCUUUCUUUGUGGGUGGCACCGAUUUGUGCUACAGCCACUAAACCCUGGCAGACUUUGAGAGGGCAGAGAGGACACUUGCCUAGCACAGAGAUUUCUAUAUUAAGAUGGGUGUCUCAGGGGAUAUUUUAGAAAUACUCUGUCACAACUAAAUUAUGAACACUUCUCUAGGAUGUUGCUCUGCUGUUGACAUUCUAUAUUGCGAAAGACAUUUUUCUCUUCGUUUCCAACUGGAUACAUGGCAGUGGAUGUGAAGUAGAAAGGCUAUUAAGGCAAGAAGCUAAGGCUGUUGACCUUCAUUUUGAGGAGUACCCAUCUUUGUAGUAACAAAACGUAGUGUCUUAUUUAAUGGUUAGUGCUAAGGGCAGACCCAGACUUUCCAUACUGAAAAGUCUCACGGUGCCAGUAUUUUUGGAAAUAGAGUUAGACAUUGGAAGGUGCAUUUGUUUGCUCCUUUGAUGACACUGGAAAACCUCAGUUGCUCUCGAAAAGUGGAGUGAGUACUAAAGUCCCUGACCGUAGCUCCCACCCCUCCUACCUCUGGAUCAUCACUGCUUUUAGCUUAAUCCUGAAUUUCACCAAGAUUCUCAGCCUCCCAAGAAAAAUCCAUUUCAGCAUCCCACUCUCAAAUGGACUUUGGCUGCUUUUCAAUACUUCCCUCAAUUUACACUUCAGGUAGCUAUGGGAAUUCUCCUUGACUCUUAUUUUGAGCCUACCUUCUGCUCCCCAUUUCGCAUAGUUUCAACCUAAAAUCAAAACCCUCUCCUAAGCUAUUGUAAAAGCCUCUAGCCCUCCUUUCCAUUCCUCCUCUUGCCUCAGAGGACUUUCUCAAUGUAGAUUUGAGAAUUAUUCCCUUUCUUUGUAGUCUCUGCAUUAUUCAAGCUGACUUCCUUUGUAUGAUACCUCUAGGUUUUUAUGAUCUGAUCCCUGCUUAUCCUUUUUAGAAUGUUAUUGCAGAGGUGAACAGUGCAGAGUUGGCCUCUGUAAAGGGCUUUUAUGAUUAAACUUACUGAACACUGCAGAACUCGGCAGCUGCCCCAGAUGACUGUCGCAUUCAGGGGCGAUCUCCACCCUCUGAGUAAUACCCAUGGUUUGAGUCUGUCUAGAAAUGAAUUGCCUUAGCCUCUUCCCAACUACAGGCUUGGAAGGCAGUAUGGGUUCACACCAGGCUAGCUUACACAUGGCACUCCCAGGUAAAUAUCUUUAACUUGGGAGCAGGAAAAAGGUUUGUAUUUUUUAGCUUACUGAAAGCUUGGAAGAACUAAAAUAGAAACAGUCAAUCUAAUUACUAGCACUAUUGAGAAAUUGUUGAGUGGAGGAUAAAGCUUUUAAACAAGUAAAAGAACUCCACAUGCACGUAAUUGAAUCUACAACUACUGGAGAGCUAACUUGUGCUAAAAGAUUUCUUGCACAUUUUGUACUUAGUAACUGAGGCCUAUGGGGAGAUGUUUUCUCUUUGGACUUUGAGCUCCGUAUUAAUUGCUUAUUAAAGACCAGUGGAGUUGAUGGUGGGCUGAUUCUGCUGAGGAAGAGACUCUCAUUGGCUUUUAGAGUUAGUCAAGCAGAAAGGAGAAAAUGCUGAAGGAGAUGAGGUUUGGCUCUGGGCUGCAGCCUUCCCUCUGGGGGCUCUCUGACACCUUACCAAAGUGAUAUGAGUACAGAGUCAAUAUUGUGAAAUCAUUAGACCUGGGUUCAAAUCCACUGAAGUAUAUGGCCUAAAGCAGGCAUUGUCAAACUACUAUCCUAGGCCAAAUCUAGCCCACCACCUGAUUUCAUAGAUCAGUUUUACUGGCUGACAGCCACCUUCACGCAUUAAGAUAAGGCUGUGCAGAAUUGAACAGGCACAACAGAUAUCACAAGGCUCCCAAAGUAUAAAAUAUUUUCUACUUGACCUGUUUCAAAAAAAGUGGUAUACCCCUGGACUAAAGCAAUAAAAGACUUAACCUCAGUUUCAUUAUGCACAGAAUGUUGGAAAUAACACUACUCCUAAAGGUUUUAUUAUAAUGCAAACAGGCAUUAAACAAAACAAAAAUAAGGACAUUUGGAAGACUCUAGGUUAAAUAAGGAUGUGUUCCUUUCCUGUAGGCUCUCACAGAGCCUUUAAGAAGGUAACUAGGUAAUCUGGCAUCGUUUUCCCUGAUUAAUUUAAUCUCAGAACCCCACUGUUAUGAAAUAAUGUGCAGGAGUUAUUCUCAUACAUACAUGCAUGUAUCUUGGGAUACACAAAGACUUCCCAGGGAUAUAGAUAGUUCAAAAGGAGUCAAUUUUCAGAUCUUGAUUCCACAUGCAUUGUUUCCUAAAACAGAUCCACCUGAAAAUAAGCCUUCCUUUCCAAUAGUCUGUCUUCCCCCCUUUAUCAGAUAAAGGUCAGCUUCUCAUUCACUCCAGAUUCUAGCUUCUGCUGUAGUUCAAGCACUCUAGAUUGCUUGUUCCUUUAAUAAUAAAUCACAAAGUCCUGAGGCCCUGGUCUUAUGCAGAGUUUCCUUAAGCCUGAAGCUUGGUAUUAAUGGGCUGUUUGGAGCACGCUGAGACUCUGAAUUCAGGAUAGCUGAAGUGGUACAGAGUCGUGAUGCAUGUUCUUUAGCCUGCAACUGGAACGUUUCCUGAGACUACCAAAUUUUUCAAGGUAGAAAACCCAUGUGUAAAAAAUUUACAUUUUUCUUGCAGACUUGCUCUUUAAUCAAUGUUAGUUAAAUUUUAUUUUAUGAGAUUACAUUAUGCAAUAUUUAUGCUGAUUUUGAUAGAUCCCCACCUGAUUCCAUGUCAAAUGUGUGAUAUGUUCAACUCCUAUUGAUUGAAAAACAGUCUUUAAACUUACGAUGAAAACUUUUAAAUAUCAACUUUAAAAUGUGUAAAAUGAUAUGCAAUUUCUCAAAAUCCUAUUAGGAGGUUGGUGAACAAAAGUGUUUGAUGACAAGCCCUUUGUAGUUUUCAGCACUGGGAAACACUGAGUUAGACAGGUCUAUGCAGAGUUCAGCAAGUGGCCCAGCACCGCAGUUACUUCAUAUCUGCUUUUUCUCUUCUCCUGCCCUCCCUCCUUCCCCUGCCAGUCUGAUCAACGCAUUCAUGUUCUUUGUCUCCUCUCCAAAAAGUCAAGCUCUCCAAAAAGGGUUUAAUGGAUUGAUUCCUACAAAGAGAUGACUUAAACAAGCAAGCUUGCUCAUCUGUCACUGAACUUGCAUUUUAACACUGGAGAAAAUACGAGAGAGUGAGAGCUAUGGUAGUGUUUGGUUUUCUGUUCUCUGACAUAGACCUAUUUGAGCAGCUUUCCUCUUCAGGUGACUUUUUAUUAAAAUGAGUGUGUUCUUCUGGAUCUGCAGACCAAGAGUGCUUCCAAAGACCAACCUGGGUCACAGCUUCACCCCUGAGAAUGGAAGCUGAGACUGCAGUGUGGCUUCCUGGUCCCAGGAGAGAGCAUGUUCCUUCAAGAUCACAGGAGGGGAGGGGUGCUCUAACCAAGAACACUGUGCCUCCUCCCAGCACCACCCACAGCCAGCCUGCUGGUGGCAUUUGGGGCUGUCUUUCUUUAUCAGAAGUUAGGGAACAAUCUGGAAGGACUAACUUUUUUGAGUGUUCUUCAGUCUCACAGUUUAGCAACAUGUUUAGCUAACAUAAGAAAUUUGGACUCACCUCCCACCCUGUUUGAACAACUCACAGAACAAAUCAAAAGGAGGGGAUGAUAGUCUCACUAUUCCUUCUGAGCAUAUUCACUGCCCCCAUUAGACUGGUAGUCAGUUUUUGAUAGGGGCUGCUGCUUCCAAAAAGAAGUUUCUGGCCAUGGGACUGCUCUCACGUGGCAUCCCAAACCAUUUUCCCUAGGGAAGGCAGGAGGAGUCAUUUCCUUGAAGAUCUGUUUCCCAAAUGAAAGACCUUUGAUUCCUAGCAUGAUAUCUAUAGGUUUUUACCUUUUUACUCUUUCCUCAAGACAGCACUAAAGAUCAUGUUAAAAAAAUAAAAUUAGAAAAUCCCAUUGAAAUUGACUCAAAUGAUGAUACUAAAAAUGGUACUGAAUAUUUUGAUGCAGUAGUAUUUAGUGUGUCAAGUCAGGUGGGGUCCAGCAUCUCAGAUAAUGCCACCAAAGCUCCACUUCUGCUUUGUCAUAGUGUGUGGUCCACCCUUAGCCUCCAUAUCAUGCAGGGCUGUACUCUGCAUUCAGCUGACUGCAGCAAAGGUAGGUAGGUCUCAGAGAAAAGAAAAGGCGGCACUAGCACGUAUCUUGCUUCUUCUUGUCCCAGACUGAGGGAAUGUUUCUGUGAACUAAUCACCGGGAUUAAGUUGACCAAGCCUAAUCCCUAUUGUAAGGAAAGAGUAGACUUCACUCAAACCAUAGGUAGACCUAGUUUUGUCUCCAUCCAAGACCAAAUCCUUGCUGAACAGGACAAAUUGGUGAUAAACAUUAUACUGUCUGAAGUUUUUACUUUUGCCUCAUCAUGAUCUUCAAGACAGUAUCUCUCCUUUGGGUUUCUUGAUAGACACCUUGGCUUUCAGUUCAGCCUCUGUGCUCACAGCAAAAACUUCUUCUGCUCCUUAAUGACCCCCACACAGCUGACUUUGUGUGAGCUAUUUCUGCGAGCCCAGGAUUGAUUUGUCACCCCAGAUGUGGUUACUCCAUAUACCA